RNAcentral lists this unclassified non-coding RNA (327 nucleotides) under soil metagenome. RNAcentral describes it as "partial contains 5.8S ribosomal RNA, internal transcribed spacer 2, and large subunit ribosomal RNA". The stretch from base 1 to 118 matches the Rfam family "5.8S ribosomal RNA", at positions 35 to 154 of the family's 154-position model. The record is from RNAcentral.
GAUGAAGAACGCAGCGAAAUGCGAUAAGUAGUGAAUUGCAGAAUUCAGUGAAUCAUCGAAUCUUUGAACGCACAUUGCGCCCCUUGGUAUCCCGAGGGGCAUGCCUGUUCGAGCGUCAUUUCACCACUCAAGCCUGGCUUGGUGUUGGGCGACGUCCCCUUUGGGGACGCGCCUCGAAACGCUCGGCGGCGUGGCACCGGCUUUAAGCGUAGCAGAAUCUUUCGCUUUGGAAGUCGGGGCCCCGUCUGCCGGAAGACCUACUCGCAAGGUUGACCUCGGAUCAGGCAGGGAUACCCGCUGAACUUAAGCAUAUCAAUAAGCGGAGGA